Molecule: non-coding RNA, 69 nt
Organism: Phthorimaea operculella (potato tuberworm)
Lineage: Eukaryota; Metazoa; Arthropoda; Insecta; Lepidoptera; Gelechiidae
Source: the annotation of a GenBank genome assembly
ACCGCGGUAGCCCAGUUGGUAGUGGCGUCAGCAGUACAGAUGUCGCAGGUUCAAAUCCUGCCUGCGGAG